UCGGGAAUUUUGCACAAUGGCCGAAAGGCUGAUGCAGCAACGCCGCGUGAGCGAAGAAGGCCUUCGGGUUGUAAAGCCCUGUUGCCUGCGAAGAAGGGCCCUGUCAGGAAAUGGGCGGGGUUUGACGGUAGCAGGCGAGGAAGCCCCGGCAAACUACGUGCCAGCAGCCGCGGUAAUACGUAGGGGGCGAGCGUUGUCCGGAAUUACUGGGCGUAAAGGGCGUGUAGGCGGCCUGUUAAGUCAGGGGUGAAAGACCGGGGCUCAACCCCGGGGGUGCCUCUGAAACUGGCGGGCUUGAGUGCUCUAGAGGGCAGUGGAAUUCCCGGUGUAGCAGUGAAAUGCGUAGAGAUCGGGAGGAACACCAGUGGCGAAGGCGGCUGCCUGGGGAGUCACUGACGCUGAGGCGCGAAAGCUAGGGGAGCAAACAGG
RNAcentral lists this ribosomal RNA (429 nucleotides) under Bacillota bacterium. RNAcentral describes it as "Firmicutes bacterium partial 16S ribosomal RNA". It matches the Rfam family "Bacterial small subunit ribosomal RNA", at positions 355 to 776 of the family's 1533-position model. The record is from RNAcentral. Lineage: Bacteria; Bacillati; Bacillota.